This is a non-coding RNA of Pseudonaja textilis, 575 nucleotides long. NCBI's taxonomy places the organism in Eukaryota, Metazoa, Chordata, Lepidosauria, Squamata, Elapidae. The record is from RefSeq and is a predicted model, not a curated record.
AGUGAAAUUAACCUAUGUCAUAAAGUAAUUUACCUACACAUAACUUAACCAGAGGAAUUGACUUGUGCGGUUGGCAGGUGAAAGAGGCCAAGGUUUGAAAAGCCAAGAAGAGAAGAGUGAACUGGAUAAGGCAAGACUAAAAGUUCAAAUCAAGAUUAAGUAACUGCAUCUUUUGCAGAAACAUUUGUUGCUGUGGCUACUUGCAAGGGAGCAGGGUGGGCUUGAUGGCUUAGGAAGGAAAAGGAGGCAGAAGAUAAACUGAUGGAACAAAUGGAAACUUUAAUAGGAUUCCUUUUUACUCUCCAAAAGAUGAAAUAGUAACUACUUGUAUAAGCAGGAAGAGUGACUGGGUAGGUGAGCUGAUGGCCAAGUCCAGUUUGUUUCUGCAGCAAGAUCUCAAAAAAUGACCUCUGAAACUAUUCUGAAUGUCAUUAUAAGAACAUUAAAGAAGAGUGAUGGAAGAGAACCACUGAGUUAAACCAAUUGCUAUGUAAGAGUACAACACAGAAUUUCUAGAGAAAUGGUAGUAAACUGAUAACAUGGCUGAUCUUGGACAUGGGAUCACUUCUACUAUU